GACGAACGCUGGCGGCGUGCCUAAUACAUGCAAGUCGAACGCUUCUUUCCUCCCGAGUGCUUGCACUCAAUUGGAAAGAGGAGUGGCGGACGGGUGAGUAACACGUGGGUAACCUACCCAUCAGAGGGGGAUAACACUUGGAAACAGGUGCUAAUACCGCAUAACAGUUUAUGCCGCAUGGCAUAAGAGUGAAAGGCGCUUUCGGGUGUCGCUGAUGGAUGGACCCGCGGUGCAUUAGCUAGUUGGUGAGGUAACGGCUCACCAAGGCCACGAUGCAUAGCCGAUCUGAGAGGGUGAUCGGCCACACUGGGACUGAGACACGGCCCAGACUCCUACGGGAGGCAGCAGUGGGGAAUCUUCGGCAAUGGACGAAAGUCUGACCGAGCAACGCCGCGUGAGUGAAGAAGGUUUUCGGAUCGUAAAACUCUGUUGUUAGAGAAGAACAAGGACGUUAGUAACUGAACGUCCCCUGACGGUAUCUAAACAGAAAGCCACGGCUAACUACGUG
This 508-nucleotide ribosomal RNA is filed under the name uncultured bacterium. RNAcentral describes it as "partial 16S ribosomal RNA". It matches the Rfam family "Bacterial small subunit ribosomal RNA", at positions 28 to 507 of the family's 1533-position model. The record is from RNAcentral.